CUUAAAUCAUAAAUCUUACGAAGUAUGUAUACUGUAUUCUAUAAUGUUGUUGUAUUAUAUUUUUUAUGUUAUUGUUUUCAUUAUUUUGUUUUAUCAUUACCAAACCUGAUUUGCCCGAGAAAAUCUAGAAAAGUUUACGUGUAUCUCCGAUUAAAUAAACCUUCGUAAAAAUAUGUUGACCACUGUCGUGAAGAUUUGAACGGGUUGUGUGAUUGUUUGUUUUGAAUAAAGGCCAGACUUUAUAUAAGAAUGUCGACGUAAUUCUGACAGUUGAGUCAGAUAUGUAACAAAAGAGCUCCUUGCCAAAAGUCCAACUUUCUCCUCCACUCAUCGACAUGUCUGACAAUGAAAAUGCAAAAUGUUAUUUCGCAAUGCCCCGACUGUGGCUUCUGCUGUGAUGCGCUACUGUCACCUGGUGGUAAUUCAACUGGACUGCAGUUGUCGGUAGAACACGCCCUGGCAAGCUAAUGUCAUUUAUUACUACGCAAUGUAAAUAUAAAAUGUUUGAUGUUUGGAUUAGGGUUUCAAAUUGGGAUUUUAAACUAGGAUUAGGAUUUAAAGUGGUUUUUCAGAAUAGGGCACAGAUUUCAAAUUGGGGGUUUGAAACUCGGCGUAGGGUUUCAAAAUACAAUGUUAAACUACGGUUAAGAUUUCACUGUAGGCUUUCAAAAUAGAAGGUUAGGGUUUCAAAGUUGGGUUUUAACCUCGGUGAGAUUCGGUUAGCGUUUCUCACUACAGUUAGGGCUUCAAACUAGGAUUGGGGUUUCAAGGUGUUAGGGUUAGGUUCUUAAAUAGUUUUUUUUUGGGGGGGGGGAUUAUCUAACUUUUGUUUCAUAUUCAUUUAAAUCUGUGUGCCCAUUACUCUCAACAUUUGAGGAGUGAAUGCAGUUACGGAGACAACACAGUCAAGUGCAGAGUAAUUCAUUGUCACAUAGCAAAGAAAAUAAAACAGCACCGAGUGGUUUAAAUAAUUAUAAUGUACAUCCACCUUCCCAAAUCCCCUCACUCACACUUCCAGAUGACUACAAA
Molecule: long non-coding RNA, 1029 nt
Organism: Hippocampus comes (tiger tail seahorse)
Lineage: Eukaryota; Metazoa; Chordata; Actinopteri; Syngnathiformes; Syngnathidae
Exons: 2
Source: RefSeq, a predicted model, not a curated record